RNAcentral lists this long non-coding RNA (886 nucleotides) under Mus musculus (house mouse). Its description in RNAcentral is "predicted gene, 26740". Lineage: Eukaryota; Metazoa; Chordata; Mammalia; Rodentia; Muridae. The record is from RNAcentral.
GGCUGUGCUGUUUCCGGAGUCAAGUAUUGAGGUGGGUUCUGCUGUGACAGGGCUGUUGGAAAGUCGCCCCAAAUCCUGUUGAAGGAGGCUGAUUAGGCCUGGUCUGUGGCAGAAUGGUGCCCAAGCAGGGACCUCUGGACAGUCUGGGAUGUCUUUGGCAUCUUCAUCUGCAUACCUUCUUUUGCUGCAGGAACACUCUGCUUGGACAGAUGGCAUAUUUGGACACAUUCACAGGAUGACAUGUCAUGCAAUAUUAAAAUGAAAAGUGACUCUAUGUGCUGGUCUAAGAAGAUCUUGAAGAUAGAGAUGACAGACCACCUGGACAAUGCUUCAUGAUCGUUUUUGUUAAAGGACUGUCACCCUGAAUUGGGAGGCUCCUGGCACUUUGCCCUUCUGCUUGUUGACAUCCCCUGAAGGAGGAGUUCUCAGGACACAUCAGGUGAAUUCUAGCCAUAACAUCAGGCUCCAAAGAGUUUUCUAGCUAAUAAUGUCCACUAUUGAAGACGUUUCGUUCUUGUCUAUUUGCUGGAUGCCUGGGUUAGCAGAAGCUUGUCUAAGGAGUCACUGCCUGUGUUGAAGUGGGCUCUGCAGUGAAAUAGCUGUUGGGAAGUUACCCAAGCUCCUCUGCCUGGAGUCAUGGCCUCAGCCAUGGCCUUGUGGAUAUUUUCUAGCUCACAUAAACAAUCCUGAGAGAACAUUCGUGGUCGUAACAGCAAGAAAGUUUAUGGGAAAAGAGGACACUGUGACUGUUGGUUCCAGGAGCUGAAGAUUGCCACCUGACCUUCAGAGAGCCCCCAGUCUCUCCCACUCCCCACCCCCCAUCCCUUGGAGCCUCCUCUUGCUUAUGCUUAUAUUGCCACUCCUGAAUAAAGUUUUCAGAGCUUGA